AAUCCAUUGAAACAAAUAAAUCCAUCUUGUUUUUGUUGAAAAAGGCUUAUUUGUGGUGAAAGAAACAUAUACAAUUGUAAAUAGUUUCUUUUUUCUUUUCAUUUAUUUUGAAGCUUGUUCUUGCAUAGCAUGCAACUAGCAGCCUCGUUAGCCAACAACAAAAAAAAAUACAAACUCAGAUCUUGUUUUCAUAGGUCUAUCAUUGUGCUUGGAGGAACUUAAUGGUUGUUGGUUGGACACAAUUGAAAAACAAAACAGAGGGAGAUGAAGCUGUGACGUGAAUUCUUCAUACCCUUGUGAAGUGGAGAUUUAAACAUUUAGGGGAUCAAAAGGAUGUAGAAGCUAGGUAUGUGCUUGAAGCUAGUAAUGCUAUUGAGGUUAAGCAAGUGCAAAGCCAUCAACAGUUAUUGCUUCUUAAGGGAGUAGGAAUUCUUUUUUUUUCCCCCUAAAGCAAUCAAUGUUGCAGUGGGUGACUUUGCAUGGUGGGGCCUUCUCCUAGUUUUUGAGAGCAUGAUAUUUUGGGUAAUGAAGAUGCUUUGCUUAUUCUUUUGUUUUUUAUUAAAAUAUGACAAGUUCUAAGUACCUAACUAUAAUACACACACACAC
RNAcentral lists this long non-coding RNA (606 nucleotides) under Elaeis guineensis (African oil palm). RNAcentral's name for it is "long non-coding RNA (EGUI_LNC075669)". Lineage: Eukaryota; Viridiplantae; Streptophyta; Magnoliopsida; Arecales; Arecaceae. The record is from RNAcentral.